UACGGAGGGUGCAAGCGUUAAUCGGAAUUACUGGGCGUAAAGCGUGCGCAGGCGGUUUGUUAAGUCUGUUGUGAAAUCCCCGAGCUCAACUUGGGAAUUGCAAUGGAUACUGGCAAGCUGGAGUAUGGUAGAGGAAGGUGGAAUUCCCGGUGUAGCAGUGAAAUGCGUAGAGAUCGGGAGGAACACCAGUGGCGAAGGCGGCCUUCUGGACCAAUACUGACGCUCAUGCACGAAAGCGUGGGGAGCAAACAGG
RNAcentral lists this ribosomal RNA (253 nucleotides) under uncultured bacterium. RNAcentral's name for it is "partial 16S ribosomal RNA". It matches the Rfam family "Bacterial small subunit ribosomal RNA", at positions 524 to 776 of the family's 1533-position model. The record is from RNAcentral.